This 551-nucleotide ribosomal RNA is filed under the name uncultured bacterium. Its description in RNAcentral is "bacterial SSU rRNA". It matches the Rfam family "Bacterial small subunit ribosomal RNA", at positions 41 to 589 of the family's 1533-position model. The record is from RNAcentral.
GGCAGGCCUAACCAUGCAAGUCGAGCGGAAACAGAUCCUAGCUUGCUAGGAGGCGUCGAGCGGCGGACGGGUGAGUACUGCAUAGGAAUUUACCCGGUAGUGGGGGAUAACCUGGGGAAACUCAGGCUAAUACCGCAUACGUCCUACGGGAGAAAGGGGGCCUUGGCUCCCGCUAUCGGACGAGCCUAUGCCGGAUUAGCUGGUUGGUGAGGUAAUGGCUCACCAAGGCGACGAUCCGUAGCUGGUCUGAGAGGAUGAUCAGCCACAUCGGGACUGAGACACGGCCCGAACUCCUACGGGUGGCAGCAGUGGGGAAUAUUGGACAAUGGGGGCAACCCUGAUCCAGCCAUGCCGCGUGUGUGAAGAAGGCCCUCGGGUUGUAAAGCACUUUCAGUGAGGAAGAACGCCUGGCGGUUAAUACCCGCCAGGAAAGACAUCACUCACAGAAGAAGCACCGGCUAACUCCGUGCCAGCAGCCGCGGUAAUACGGAGGGUGCAAGCGUNAAUCGGAAUUACUGGGCGUAAAGCGCGCGUAGGUGGCUUGAUAAGCC